This 253-nucleotide ribosomal RNA is filed under the name uncultured bacterium. RNAcentral's name for it is "partial 16S ribosomal RNA". It matches the Rfam family "Bacterial small subunit ribosomal RNA", at positions 524 to 776 of the family's 1533-position model. The record is from RNAcentral.
UACGAAGGGGGCUAGCGUUGUUCGGAAUUACUGGGCGUAAAGGGCGCGUAGGCGGUCCCUCAAGUCAGGCGUGAAAGCCCCGGGCUCAACCUGGGAACCGCGCUUGAGACUGAUGGGCUAGAGUUCGGGAGAGGAUGGUGGAAUUCCUAGUGUAGAGGUGAAAUUCGUAGAUAUUAGGAAGAACACCAGUGGCGAAGGCGGCUCACUGGUCCGGUACUGACGCUGAGGUGCGAAAGCGUGGGGAGCAAACAGG